RNAcentral lists this ribosomal RNA (252 nucleotides) under uncultured bacterium. Its description in RNAcentral is "partial 16S ribosomal RNA". It matches the Rfam family "Bacterial small subunit ribosomal RNA", at positions 525 to 776 of the family's 1533-position model. The record is from RNAcentral.
ACGUAGGGGACAAGCGUUAUCCGGAUUUACUGGGCGUAAAGCGCCCGUAGGCGGCUUGAUAAGUUGGACGUGAAAGCUCCCGGCUUAACUGGGAGAGGCCGUUCAAAACUGACAGGCUAGAGUGAGGAAGAGGAGAGCGGAAUUCCCGGUGUAGUGGUGGAAUGCGUAGAUAUCGGGAGGAACACCGAUGGCGAAGGCAGCCUCCUGGGCCAAUACUGACGCUCAUGCACGAAAGCGUGGGGAGCAAACAGG